GUGCUCACUUUAGCAGCACAUAUACUAAAAUUGAAACGAUACAGAGAUUAGCAUGACCCCUGAGCAAGGAUGACACACAAGUUCGUGAAGUGUUCCAUAUUUAA
Callithrix jacchus (white-tufted-ear marmoset) is the source of this 104-nucleotide small nuclear RNA. NCBI's taxonomy places the organism in Eukaryota, Metazoa, Chordata, Mammalia, Primates, Cebidae. The record is from Ensembl.